Molecule: long non-coding RNA, 541 nt
Filed under: Amborella trichopoda
Lineage: Eukaryota; Viridiplantae; Streptophyta; Magnoliopsida; Amborellales; Amborellaceae
Description: long non-coding RNA (ATRI_LNC005060)
Source: RNAcentral
UGUGGCACUAGAUCACAUGUAGAAUCAGGCCCCAAGUUCAAUUUUCCCAUGUCUAUGAAAUUCUGGAUGAUGUCCUUACUGGCACGACACUCCUCAGUGCUAUGACUAAGUCUCCUAUGAUAUUGGCAAUAAUUGGGCUUACUUUCCCUUCCAAGUUCCCUCGAUCUUUUCAGCACGGGUAGCUCGAUCAUCCCCUCUGAUAAGAGAGUCUCAAGCAGCUUGAGGAUCAUAACUUGUCAAAGGAGUAAUCCUCGUGCCGUCCUUGGCUUGAGGAGUGCAUAGCAUUUGUUAUGGCAGCUGAUAAUUGAUCAUCAUCUUUGACUGAUGCGAAGGGUCUAGAUAUACUUUCUUGGUGCUUGAGAAAACCUUCAAUUUGAACUGCCUUAUUGGCCAUCUUGGUGAGUGUAGUGGGCCAUGAUGAAGUGACAUAACGAUCCAAUUCUUGGUGCAUCCCAUCUAUGCAGUACUCUAUCUCUUGAGGCUCACCUAUUAGUGUGGCCAGAUUGAUGGCAAGAUUGCACCACCUUUCGAUGUACUCGAU